GAUGGGGAAGGUACAUAUGAUGACUAAACUGCCUUAAAGAGUGAGACAUUGGAUAUGCACUAUGGUGCUUACACCCAAGAGUUUUUGUUCUGUGAAAAAGUCAAGGAGACGCUAGGAAAUUCUGGUUUAUACCAAGAAUAACUUAAAUGCCUGAACAUGGUGGUGAUAGUAUGGAAAGCCAGUUCGAAGAAUUAGCACAAAAUCCUGAUAUACUAUCAUUGCAACUCCUGGUUCAUCACACAUUUACAACAACUGGAUCAGAUGGUGCCUUCAAUUUUGCGACAAGGAUAGAAAACAGAGA
Papaver somniferum (opium poppy) is the source of this 301-nucleotide long non-coding RNA. RefSeq lists it as uncharacterized. The transcript is spliced from 3 exons. The record is from RefSeq and is a predicted model, not a curated record. Lineage: Eukaryota; Viridiplantae; Streptophyta; Magnoliopsida; Ranunculales; Papaveraceae.